AUUGAACGUUGGCGGCAGGCCUAACACAUGCAAGUCGAACGGUAGCACAGAGAGCUUGCUCUCGGGUGACGAGUGGCGGACGGGUGAGUAAUGUCUGGGAAACUGCCCGAUGGAGGGGGAUAACUACUGGAAACGGUAGCUAAUACCGCAUAACGUCGCAAGACCAAAGUGGGGGACCUUCGGGCCUCACACCAUCGGAUGUGCCCAGAUGGGAUUAGCUAGUAGGUGGGGUAAUGGCUCACCUAGGCGACGAUCCCUAGCUGGUCUGAGAGGAUGACCAGCCACACUGGAACUGAGACACGGUCCAGACUCCUACGGGAGGCAGCAGUGGGGAAUAUUGCACAAUGGGCGCAAGCCUGAUGCAGCCAUGCCGCGUGUAUGAAGAAGGCCUUCGGGUUGUAAAGUACUUUCAGCGGGGAGGAAGGCGGUGAAGUUAGUAACUUCACCGAUUGACGUUACCCGCAGAAGAAGCACCGGCUAACUCCGUGCCAGCCGCCGCCGUAA
Molecule: ribosomal RNA, 504 nt
Filed under: uncultured bacterium
Lineage: Bacteria
Description: partial 16S ribosomal RNA
Rfam family: Bacterial small subunit ribosomal RNA
Source: RNAcentral